UAGUAAAUAUAAAUACAAACAUUAAAAAAAAACCUAAUUCUAUUUCACAAGUCAAAGGCGUUAAACACACAAAUCGCGAUUUACACAAACAAGACAAACCCUAGCUGUGCCGCCGCUGCCGCCUUCCGCCUUCCGCCUUCCGCUGUCCCGCAAGCAAGUCAAACAACUCUCGGCUGGGUUCGCCACCGUCGCAAGGUCGGUUCGCUGUCGUCGCAAGGUUGGGUUCACGGUUCGUCGCAGCUCGUUUGGUUCACCAGAAUCACCACCGUCGCAUGCUUGCAGCAGUGCAGUUACUCAAUUCGUUUGAUUCACCGGCGUGAGUAGCUGUUAUACUCUGUUUUAUGUGAUUUGUGCUAUGUGAUUUAUGAUAUUGAUUUGUGUUGUGUUAUACUGUUGUGAACACCACUGAUUUAUGUGAUUUGUGCUAUGUGAUUUGUGAUAUUGAUUUGUGUUGUGUUAUACACUUAUACUGCCGUGAACACCAAUAAUUUAUGCUUGAAAUGUUGUUGAUUGUUGGUGUUAAUAAAUUCGAAAUUGUAUAUUUCAAAUGUUAGAAAGCUGUUACAGUUAAAAAUAAAUUGUUGUUGUUAAUGGAUUUGUUGCUGUUAAUAGAUUCGAAAUUGUAUAUUUCAAAUGUUAGAAAGCUGUUACAGUUAAAAAUAAAUUGUUGUUAUUAAUGGAUUUGUUGCUGUUAAUAGAUUCGAAAAUGUAUUUUUGAAAUGUUAGAACUUAGAACAUUUUUACAGACUUACAGUAAAAAAAAUAAAUAUAAAAUGGAAGAAAUUGGAGGAAUGAUUGGUUAGUUUAAUUUGUUUUGACAUAAUUCUUGUAGGGUGUUAAAUUCGUAAUGGAAAAUGAACAAAGGUAUGGAAAAUUUAUUUAUUACAUAAAAUAAAUUAAUUUGUUAUAGUAUCAAUUUACUACUAACUAACUAUUUUGUUUCUUAUUUUUAUGAUUUAUUCAUGUUUUUUAGAUGGAAUUCCAGAGAAGCAAUACUUUCUGCAGAACAGCUUAUUGAUGAAAGUUUGAUGAGUGAGUUGUGAACAACAAUGAGUCAAGUGAAGAAGAAUAGAAAAUGAUGGAGAAAAGUUUAAACUUUGGAUUUGUGGUUUUUAAUUUGAACUUUGAAUUGUAGACUUGUGUAAUUGUGUUAUGGAUUUAUAUUUGUGGCUGUUUUAUUACUUGAAACAGCCAUUUGAAUUGUAGAGUUUGCAAACUAGCUGUUUGAAUUGUAGAGUUUGCAGAGAGUUGAUUAAUUGUGAUUUGUGAGCACUAGACUAUUAUGCCAUAAUUGUGAUUUGUUGUUUAAGUCUUAAUUAUUAAGUGCUGGGAUGGCCUUUGAAACAUUGAGAAUUUGAGAUAUUGUGAUUUCUGAAGAGUGAUUACUUCUGUCAAUGUUUAGGAGUUAGUUUAAAGCUUGUUGGUCAUCGUGCAAAGUAUGGAUUGUAUGGUUAUCUUGAUGAUGUUGGUGGUAGACAAUUAUAUAGGUUUAGAAACUUCAUGUGGUAGAGAAAAGCUUGGGGACAUUCUCCAAUCCUCUAAGCUAUGUUGCAGGGGCUGUUUGUCCAGUUUUGACCUCAUCUUUUUGUUUCUAUUAAUAUUUCCUUUAGUUACAUUAGUUGUGUUUUGGUUCUAUCACUGAUAAUGAAAGUGAAAUUUGAAAUUUCAUUAUUGAUCCGGGUUCAAAACCCGGAAUCCGGGAACCCGGAUUUUUCCGGGUUGAACCCGAACCCGGACCCGGAUGGAAAAAAUCGGGUUUUAAUCCGGGUCUGGGAGAAAGAAAAUGACGUUCGGGUCCGGAACCGGGAAGGCUAAACCCGGACCCGGUCCCGGAUUUUGCCAUCCCUAGUCCCAACCAAGGCGAGGUGCAUAUGGACAUAUCAAACCUUGAGGUGCAUCAAAGUGUUUCUAACUUGCAAGAUCCCUAUAGAUGGUGCUAAUGAAGGAGUUAAAAUUUUUUACUUUCACACGAAUUUGUAGUUGUAGAGAACCUGGCAGUGUUGAUUGAUUUUGGAGCCGACAUGGGUACCUGCAAAAGACACUUUGAUGUCCAAGUUAGUGUUUGGCUAACGCCAAGAAAGAAGAAAGAGGAGGAAGAAGAAAUUGGGAGAAGAUGAGUUUUACCCUUGUAGUGGACACUAUCCUCACAAUAGCGAAAGACUCCUUUCUUUAGAGAUGACCCUCUAUUUAUAGAAGAUGAUAGGGUGCUCACGGAUUAGAUUUUGUAGAUUGUAUAUCAAUUCAUAUCCGAUCCAUGAUUUUGCAUAUUAUAGAUUUUCUAUCCAAUCCAAUCCACAUAUUAAUGAAAUUCAAUCCAAAUCUAAUCUAUACAUCUAUGGAGGGGAUGCAAAUUUUUAUACUAUUUUUAUAUUAGAUUUGAUCCAUUUUGUGGAUUAAAAUUUUUAUUUCUAUCCAAUCCAUGAACUAAUUAAAUAAAAAAAUCUAAUAUAAAAUAAUUUCCUACCGAACAAAUUCAAAACUAGAUAAAAUUUAAAUGAAUUUUAAAAUAUAACAUACCGAAAAGAAAAAAAUCUCAUUUGUUUAGAUCAAUACAUGAAAAUUAGCUAAAACUAUGAAUUUAAAUUUAUUCAAAAGUUAAAACUUGAGAGCUUGGAUGAUCUGUCAAAAUGUUCAUCUCCAAUUUAUAUUUCCUAUUUUAAUCUGAACAAUAAAAAAAAUUUAUUUAAUAAAAAUAUUUAAUGAAUAUUUACCCUUACUAUCCCAUCAAAUGCUAUCAAACUUUAUCAAAUAUAUUCUUGUCAGCUCCCAAAAUCUUUGUAUGUAUAAGACAAAAAAAAUGUCAAUUGAAAAAAUAGAUAACAAUACGAAGUCAAAUAAUAAUCAAUAAAAAGAAUUAAAGUUAAGUUGUCACAUCUACCUCUCUGAAUAUGUUGAAUCUCUAUUCCUUCGUCAAGGUUUAUCAGAGUUAAAUGUAAUCAAUUUUGUGUGUAAAUUAGUGCCUCCACCCUCUUUGUACAUAGUGAGCACCGAAAUGAAUCAAUCACACGACCACCAAUACUAAAUCUGAUAAGUGUAUAUUUUCUCUAGAUUUUACUAUUAAUUUCUCCAUCUUUUUUCUUGUUUUGGUCUUAAAUAUUUUUGUUAUUUUUGUUAGUUUUUAAUUUAGUAUUUUAUUUUGAUUUAAUUUAAAUUUUUCACCUUUAGUUUAAAUUAUAAUUCACCUUACUUAGUUGAUAAUAAUUGCUUUUUUCAAAUGUUUAAUUAUUCUUAAUUUUGUUUUUUAAUAUAGGUGAAAAAUUCAAAAAGAGAAAGUUGGAAUUUGGUUGGGUUGAAAAUGCAUAUUUGGGGGAAUAUUUACAUUGAUUGAGCUAAAAUAAAAAAUUAAUUGGAGUUUAAGAGAAAUAAUUGAAGAUUUUUGGAAGCCAAGAAAACCAAAGUCAAUAAAUUAAUUCAUCCAUGCACAUGCAGACAAAGAAGUUAUGGCCAUCACGUGGAGACUAAAGAAGAAAUUGAGUUUAAUUCAAGGGUUCGCUUGUAGUACGAGGUUGUAUCUCGUGCAGCCGCUUUUUAUUAUUUUUUUAAUUGAUUUUAUAACCGGCCACCGGUUGCCCCUUGUUUUCAUGGGUUAUAGUGGAAAAUAUUAAUGGUAAAUAUCAUAUAGCUACCCUCAUUUUAAGUAAAUGACAAAAUAAUCAAUUUAAAUUAUGAAACUACCGAAUACCCCCUCAACUUUACAUUAAAAUUCAUUUAAAAAAUAAGAUUUCU
This 3726-nucleotide long non-coding RNA is filed under the name Citrus x clementina. RNAcentral's name for it is "Citrus clementina (C. clementina) long non-coding RNA (CCLE_LNC004097)". The record is from RNAcentral. Lineage: Eukaryota; Viridiplantae; Streptophyta; Magnoliopsida; Sapindales; Rutaceae.